AGGAUGAAGGAGCAUUGCCACAUGGUUUUGGUGUUUGCUACCAGGGUGAAGAAACUGAUGCAUUGUCUGAUUGUGUUCCUAUGCAUGUGAGAUAUCCUUUAUCAUAUAGAAUUGAUAUUUCUUAUUAAAAUGAUACUUGACUGUAGACAAGGAUUCUGUUGCCAAGGGACCAAAGAUUGUGGAAACAUGUAAGAGCCCUGAUGUUUGUUCAAAUACUUUAUGCGGUAUAAAUGGUAAGGAAUUUGGUUGACCCCAGUUUGUUACUUGGCCACAUUCAGUUUUGCGUCCACAUUUGCUACAUAAUUGAAUAACUGUUAUUUUUGCAGAUGCAUCAUUUCUAUAACAUUGCUCUUUAUUUUACUUGCUAUGAGGUUGAUACUUAUGUUAAGGCUCAUUAUGGUUGUAUUCCUACCAGGUUCCAACAUUUUAAAGAGAAAAAUUGGUACGUAGUUGAUAGAAAAUUGCAAAGUGAGAGGAUCCCCCUGUGUGCAAGUCUUUUUAUUUUUCGCAUAACUGUUAUUCCAUUCUUACCACUCGGUCAACAUACACAGGCUCAAGUGCAUAGUUAUAGAAAAAUAAUUAUUAUUAAGCUUGUGUAGUUACCCCUUGGAAUUGGCAAGGCUUGAUCAUGUGAACUCUUCCUUGUUAUGAUAGAGCACAUGCCAUUGAGCCAACACCUUGGGAAUUUUUUUAUAAUAUCUUUUCUCAGAAAUAUAUUUAGAAUUUCAAACUGGAAAAACUUUUAAGGAUUCUGAUUAUUUUGUUGGGGUGGGGUUGUUGAAAAUUAUUGUUAUUUGAUUAUUGAUAUACUUUUGCAGGAAUUUCUAGGCGAGCCACUUUGUUUGAGAUGAUUAGAGAUUUUGGACAAGCAGC
This 873-nucleotide long non-coding RNA is filed under the name Panax ginseng (ginseng). RNAcentral's name for it is "long non-coding RNA (PGIN_LNC015756)". Lineage: Eukaryota; Viridiplantae; Streptophyta; Magnoliopsida; Apiales; Araliaceae. The record is from RNAcentral.